CGGACGGGUGAGUAACACGUGGAUAACCUACCUAUAAGACUGGGAUAACUUCGGGAAACCGGAGAUAAUACCGGAUAAUAUUUUAAACCGCAUGGUUCAAAAGUGAAAGACGGUCUUGCUGUCACUUAUAGAUGGAUCCGCGCUGCAUUAGCUAGUUGGUAAGGUAACGGCUUACCAAGGCAACGAUGCAUAGCCGACCUGAGAGGGUGAUCGGCCACACUGGAACUGAGACACGGUCCAG
RNAcentral lists this ribosomal RNA (241 nucleotides) under uncultured Staphylococcus sp. Its description in RNAcentral is "partial 16S ribosomal RNA". It matches the Rfam family "Bacterial small subunit ribosomal RNA", at positions 99 to 334 of the family's 1533-position model. Lineage: Bacteria; Bacillati; Bacillota; Bacilli; Caryophanales; Staphylococcaceae. The record is from RNAcentral.